This 237-nucleotide long non-coding RNA is filed under the name Sus scrofa (pig). Its description in RNAcentral is "lncRNA (ENSSSCG00065015403.1)". The record is from RNAcentral. Lineage: Eukaryota; Metazoa; Chordata; Mammalia; Artiodactyla; Suidae.
GAACGUUUCGUGUGCGUCGGUGACCGGGAACAGCAGCCCAGUUGCUCGUUCAUCUGGAGAGUUGGGAUUUGGGUGUUCCGGCCCCGGAGAUCGGAGCCUGAAUCCAAGAAUCUGGAACACGUUUAUAUGUGAAAUAUCCGCGAUCAUUUCAGCUAAAUGAGGAAGGUCACUACCAUAUGACAAAGGCUUUGCCGCAGUUCAUCUUCCUCUCUGUGUACUUUCCAUUUGCCUUCUUGG